RNAcentral lists this ribosomal RNA (253 nucleotides) under uncultured bacterium. Its description in RNAcentral is "partial 16S ribosomal RNA". It matches the Rfam family "Bacterial small subunit ribosomal RNA", at positions 524 to 776 of the family's 1533-position model. The record is from RNAcentral.
UACGAAGGGGGCUAGCGUUGCUCGGAAUUACUGGGCGUAAAGGGUGCGUAGGCGGGUCUUUAAGUCAGAGGUGAAAUCCUGGAGCUCAACUCCAGAACUGCCUUUGAUACUGAGGAUCUUGAGUUCGGGAGAGGUGAGUGGAACUGCGAGUGUAGAGGUGAAAUUCGUAGAUAUUCGCAAGAACACCAGUGGCGAAGGCGGCUCACUGGCCCGAUACUGACGUUGAGGCACGAAAGCGUGGGGAGCAAACAGG